RNAcentral lists this ribosomal RNA (559 nucleotides) under uncultured bacterium. RNAcentral describes it as "bacterial SSU rRNA". It matches the Rfam family "Bacterial small subunit ribosomal RNA", at positions 340 to 916 of the family's 1533-position model. The record is from RNAcentral.
UACGGGAGGCAGCAGUGGGGAAUAUUGCACAAUGGGGGAAACCCUGAUGCAGCGACGCCGCGUGGAGGAAGAAGGUCUUCGGAUUGUAAACUCCUGUUGUUGNGGAAGAUAAUGACGGUACUCAACAAGGAAGUGACGGCUAACUACGUGCCAGCAGCCGCGGUAAAACGUAGGUCACAAGCGUUGUCCGGAAUUACUGGGUGUAAAGGGAGCGCAGGCGGGAAGACAAGUUGGAAGUGAAAUCUAUGGGCUCAACCCAUAAACUGCUUUCAAAACUGUUUUUCUUGAGUAGUGCAGAGGUAGGCGGAAUUCCCGGUGUAGCGGUGGAAUGCGUAGAUAUCGGGAGGAACACCAGUGGCGAAGGCGGCCUACUGGGCACCAACUGACGCUGAGGCUCGAAAGUGUGGGUAGCAAACAGGAUUAGAUACCCUGGUAGUCCACACCGUAAACGAUGAUUACUAGGUGUUGGAGGAUUGACCCCUUCAGUGCCGCAGUUAACACAAUAAGUAAUCCACCUGGGGAGUACGACCGCAAGGUUGAANCUCAAAGGANUUGACGG